GAUGAACGCUGGCGGCGUGCUUAACACAUGCAAGUCGAACGGAAAGGCUCCUGCUUGCAGGGGUACUCGAGUGGCGAACGGGUGAGUAACACGUGGGUGAUCUGCCCUGCACUUCGGGAUAAGCCUGGGGAACUGGGUCUAAUACCGGAUAGGACGAUGGUUUGGAUGCCAUUGUGGAAAGUUUUUCGGUGUGGGAUGAGCUCGCGGCCUAUCAGCUUGUUGGUGGGGUAAUGGCCUACCAAGGCGUCGCCGGGUAGCCGGCCUGAGAGGGUGUACGGCCACAUUGGGACUGAGAUACGGCCCAGACUCCUACGGGAGGCAGCAGUGGGGAAUAUUGCACAAUGGGCGCAAGCCUGAUGCAGCGACGCCGCGUGGGGGAUGACGGCCUUCGGGUUGUAAACUCCUUUCGCUAGGGACGAAGCGCAAGUGACGGUACCUGGAGAAGAAGCACCGGCUAACUACGUG
This 465-nucleotide ribosomal RNA is filed under the name uncultured bacterium. RNAcentral describes it as "partial 16S ribosomal RNA". It matches the Rfam family "Bacterial small subunit ribosomal RNA", at positions 28 to 507 of the family's 1533-position model. The record is from RNAcentral.